RNAcentral lists this transfer RNA (75 nucleotides) under Danionella cerebrum. RNAcentral's name for it is "tRNA-Val". It matches the Rfam family "tRNA". From Rfam's summary of the family: Transfer RNA (tRNA) molecules are approximately 80 nucleotides in length. The record is from RNAcentral. Lineage: Eukaryota; Metazoa; Chordata; Actinopteri; Cypriniformes; Danionidae.
GCCUUCCCGUGGCUCAAUUGGUAGAACAUUGCGCUAACAACACAAAGGUCUGGGGUUCAAAUCCCAAGGAAAGCA